RNAcentral lists this transfer RNA (67 nucleotides) under Pseudalbara parvula. RNAcentral describes it as "tRNA-His". Lineage: Eukaryota; Metazoa; Arthropoda; Insecta; Lepidoptera; Drepanidae. The record is from RNAcentral.
AUUUAAAUAAUUUAAAUAAAAUAUUGAUUUGUGGAGUCAAAAAUAUGAAUAUAUCUCAUUUUAAAUU